Molecule: transfer RNA, 92 nt
Filed under: uncultured Clostridium sp.
Lineage: Bacteria; Bacillati; Bacillota; Clostridia; Eubacteriales; Clostridiaceae
Description: tRNA-Ser(cga)
Rfam family: tRNA
About the family: Transfer RNA (tRNA) molecules are approximately 80 nucleotides in length. Their secondary structure includes four short double-helical elements and three loops (D, anti-codon, and T loops).
Source: RNAcentral
UGGAGACGUAGCGAAGCGGCCGUAACGCGGCGCACUCGAAAUGCGUUUAUCGGUUCAUCCCGGUACGCGGGUUCGAAUCCCGCCGUCUCCGU